GAUGAACGCUGGCGGCGUGCCUAAUACAUGCAAGUCGAGCGAACGGACGAGAAGCUUGCUUCUCUGAUGUUAGCGGCGGACGGGUGAGUAACACGUGGAUAACCUACCUAUAAGACUGGGAUAACUUCGGGAAACCGGAGCUAAUACCGGAUAAUAUUUUGAACCGCAUGAUUCAAAAGUGAAAGACGGUCUUGCUGACACUUAUAGAUGGAUCCGCGCUGCAUUAGCUAGUUGGUAAGGUAACGGCUUACCAAGGCAACGAUGCAUAGCCGACCUGAGAGGGUGAUCGGCCACACUGGAACUGAGACACGGUCCAGACUCCUACGGGAGGCAGCAGUAGGGAAUCUUCCGCAAUGGGCGAAAGCCUGACGGAGCAACGCCGCGUGAGUGAUGAAGGUCUUCGGAUCGUAAAACUCUGUUAUUAGGGAAGAACAUAUGUGUAAGUAACUGUGCACAUCUUGACGGUACCUAAUCAGAAAGCCACGGCUAACUACGUG
This 497-nucleotide ribosomal RNA is filed under the name uncultured bacterium. RNAcentral describes it as "partial 16S ribosomal RNA". It matches the Rfam family "Bacterial small subunit ribosomal RNA", at positions 28 to 507 of the family's 1533-position model. The record is from RNAcentral.